UUGUCUUGGCUCAUUAUUUUUCUAGCCUGCCCAUCCUAUUCCAUCCCCAACUCUCUGUCCAGGUGUACCUGGUUCUCCAUGGCCACUGGAUGGCUACAGGUGGUGCCCAUAUGAGGAGCUUGGACACAGGGCCACCAACUGAGGGCUGUCCUCGGUGGAGCUCCACAGAAAACAGUAAAAGUUAUGUAUUCUACAUGGUGGCAAAAUUGAAAGUAAAAUCAGCACCGCUGAUACCAUGCUGAUGAUGAUUGCAUCAGUGCCAUUAUUGGAGCCUCCUUUAGAAGAAAAUUAGGAAGGUCUAUGCAUCUGGAAUUGCAGAUGGAUCCAUCAAAACAUUAUGGAUUCCUUUUUGACUUCUUCAGCCCUGGAUCAUCAAGGACAAGGGUGGAGGGUGAGAAGACAGUGGACAUCACCAGAAAGAUAGCAAUCCUCCAGCUAAAGGGCAAACAAAGAUAUCAACCAUAUCAUCAGAAGUCAAGUCUGCCCACCUGGGGUCAAUUUAUAUAGCCCUAUGCACCAAGGGAGAAGUUAUUCUAUGGAGCACAGAGAGCCCCAUGUCACCUGAGAAUCUUUGGCUGGCGAUGCUCGCGGCUGUGACCUGUGCAUCUGUGGUGAUGGCCUCUGAACAUGUGCAUUGGUCUUAUGUUCCCCAUCCUUCUUUACUUCAGCUUGUAGAUUAGAUGGAUCCAGAGCCUGUUAUCAUUACUAACCACUGGGGCUUACGGAGGACCUUGGGGUCACGAUAGACUCAUUCAUUCAUCUGAAGAUGAGCCUGAGUCUGCUUUAUUUGUUGGAAUUUUAAUCAUUUCCCAUUUGCGUAGAGCAUCAUUACAUUUGUGUUUAUAUGGGUUUAUGUUUUACAAGGUAUUAUAACUACUAAUUAUAUGGGCCUUUUUUCAAGUUAUUCUCUAGACUUUUCUGAUCAAUAUAAUCAUGUAACCAAAUAGUUCUGGACAUGGUUUGGAUCCUUGUUCUUGAUGGCAGAAUGCUUUUACAGUGGCUUCACUGUUCUAACAUUGCUCAUUACAUUUAUAAUUUGCUUGCUGAUAGGAUAGCCAUGCAUCAAAUGACAAUUAGAUUUAUCAACAAUAUCUCAAAUCAAAUCUCUGAACAUCCUACUACUAAAAAUAAAAAAGGAUGGAGAUUUUGGAACAUGGUCCAAGAAUGAAAUCAUAUGAGGGGAAUUCAGAGUGCUUACGAGAAAAAGCCAAGAAAGUAGGACAGGAGUCUUGUGACCUCAGUUUCUAAAAAACAACAACAACAAAACACAGAAUAGUUCUUGGAGUAUGCUUCUAUGCCCCUCCCAGAUUUAUCAGAUAGAGAAGAGUGUACUUCACUUUAUCCAUUACAACUGGUCAUUGUUAUUUGUUUAUAUGUAUUUAUGAAAAAGCAUGUUUUUGCCUAGUAUGGCUUGCCUGUCAUGUGUAGUUUGCCCUUGUGAUUAUAUAAUUUACUCAUGUGAGUCUUCUUAAUCCUC
Molecule: long non-coding RNA, 1477 nt
Organism: Mus musculus (house mouse)
Lineage: Eukaryota; Metazoa; Chordata; Mammalia; Rodentia; Muridae
Product: predicted gene, 53433
Exons: 3
Source: RefSeq, a predicted model, not a curated record